AUUGAACGCUAGCGGGAUGCCUUACACAUGCAAGUCGAACGGAGUGGCGAACGGGUGCGUAAUGUAUCGGAACGUGCCCAUUAGCGGGGGAUAACUAUGCGAAAGCGUAGCUAAUACCAAAUACUAUUGGCGCGGCCGAUAUCGGAUUAGCUAGUUGGUGGGGUAACGGCUAACCAAGGCGACGAUCCGUAGCUGGUUUGAGAGGACGACCAGCCACACUGGAACUGAGACACGGCCCAGACUCCUACGGGAGGCAGCAGUGGGGAAUAUUGCACAAGGGGGGAAACCCUGAGGCAGCCAUGCCGCGUGUACGAAGAAGGCCUUCGGGUUGUAAAGCACUUUUGGCAGGGAGGCGGUACCUGCAGAAGAAGCACCGGCUAACUACGUGCCAGCAGCCGCGGUAAUAC
RNAcentral lists this ribosomal RNA (407 nucleotides) under uncultured bacterium. Its description in RNAcentral is "partial 16S ribosomal RNA". It matches the Rfam family "Bacterial small subunit ribosomal RNA", at positions 30 to 526 of the family's 1533-position model. The record is from RNAcentral.